GAUGAACGCUGGCGGCGUGCUUAACACAUGCAAGUCGAACGGAAAGGCCCAAGCUUGCUUGGGUACUCGAGUGGCGAACGGGUGAGUAACACGUGGGUGAUCUGCCCUGCACUUCGGGAUAAGCCUGGGAAACUGGGUCUAAUACCGGAUAGGACCACAUUUUGGAUGGUGUGGUGGAAAGUUUUUCGGUGUGGGGUGAGCUCGCGGCCUAUCAGCUUGUUGGUGGGGUAAUGGCCUACCAAGGCGUCGACGGGUAGCCGGCCUGAGAGGGUGUACGGCCACAUUGGGACUGAGAGACGGCCCAGACUCCUACGGGAGGCAGCAGUGGGGAAUAUUGCACAAUGGGCGCAAGCCUGAUGCAGCGACGCCGCGUGGGGGAUGACGGCCUUCGGGUUGUAAAAUCCUUUCGCUAGGGACGAAGCGUUAUGUGACGGUACCUGGAGAAGAAGCACCGGCUAACUACGUG
RNAcentral lists this ribosomal RNA (466 nucleotides) under uncultured bacterium. RNAcentral's name for it is "partial 16S ribosomal RNA". It matches the Rfam family "Bacterial small subunit ribosomal RNA", at positions 28 to 507 of the family's 1533-position model. The record is from RNAcentral.